This 447-nucleotide ribosomal RNA is filed under the name uncultured bacterium. Its description in RNAcentral is "bacterial SSU rRNA". It matches the Rfam family "Bacterial small subunit ribosomal RNA", at positions 355 to 825 of the family's 1533-position model. The record is from RNAcentral.
UCGGGAAUUUUGGGCAAUGGGCGAAAGCCUGACCCAGCAACGCCGCGUGAAGGAUGAAGUAUUUCGGUAUGUAAACUUCGAAAGAAUAGGAAGAAUAAAUGACGGUACUAUUUAUAAGGUCCGGCUAACUACGUGCCAGCAGCCGCGGUAAUACGUAGGGACCAAGCGUUGUUCGGAUUUACUGGGCGUAAAGGGCGCGUAGGCGGCAAUUCAAGUCAUCUGUGAAAUCUCCGGGCUUAACUCGGAACGGUCAGAUGAUACUGCUUUGCUAGAGUGCAGAAGGGGCAAUCGGAAUUCUUGGUGUAGCGGUGAAAUGCGUAGAUAUCAAGAGGAACACCUGAGGCGAAGGCGGGUUGCUGGGCUGAUACUGACGCUGAGGCGCGAAAGCUAGGGUAGCAAACGGGAUUAGAUACCCUAGUAGUCCCUGAGCGGGCUGGCAAGGCGCAU